CGUCAGCUCGUGCCGUGAGGUGUCGGGUUAAGUCCCAUAACGAGCGCAACCCUACCCUUUAGUUGCCAUCAGGUAAUGCUGGGGACGUCUAAGGAACUGCCUACGCAAGUAGUGAGGAAGGCGGGGAGUGACGUCAAAUCAGCACGGCCCUUACGUCCAGGGCUACACACGUGCUACAAUGGCCGAUACAGAGGGCAGCUACCUGGUGACAGGAUGCAAAUCUCCAAAGUCGGUCUCAGUUCGGAUCGGAGUCUGCAACCCGACUCCGUGAAGUUGGAUUCGCUAGUAAUCGCGCAUCAGCCAUGGCGCGGUGAAUACGUUCCCGGGCCUU
RNAcentral lists this ribosomal RNA (331 nucleotides) under uncultured Sphingobacteriales bacterium. RNAcentral describes it as "bacterial SSU rRNA". It matches the Rfam family "Bacterial small subunit ribosomal RNA", at positions 1053 to 1382 of the family's 1533-position model. The record is from RNAcentral. Lineage: Bacteria; Pseudomonadati; Bacteroidota; Sphingobacteriia; Sphingobacteriales.